GAACGCACAUUGCGCCCCCUGGUAUUCCGGGGGGCAUGCCUGUUCGAGCGUCAUUACAACCCUCAAGCUCUGCUUGGUAUUGGGUGUCACCCCCGGGUGCGCCUUAAAAUCAGUGGCGGUGCCGUCUGGCUUCAAGCGUAGUAAUACUUCUCGCUUUGGAGUCCGGGCGAGCGUCCUGCCAAAACCCCCAUAUUUUUUCAGGUUGACCUCGGAUCAGGUAGGGAUACCCGCUGAACUUAAG
This 241-nucleotide unclassified non-coding RNA is filed under the name Phacidium pseudophacidioides. RNAcentral's name for it is "sequence contains 5.8S rRNA gene". The stretch from base 1 to 53 matches the Rfam family "5.8S ribosomal RNA", at positions 102 to 154 of the family's 154-position model. Lineage: Eukaryota; Fungi; Ascomycota; Leotiomycetes; Phacidiales; Phacidiaceae. The record is from RNAcentral.